RNAcentral lists this transfer RNA (74 nucleotides) under Haplopteris ensiformis. Its description in RNAcentral is "tRNA-Arg". It matches the Rfam family "tRNA". Rfam says of the family: Transfer RNA (tRNA) molecules are approximately 80 nucleotides in length. The record is from RNAcentral. Lineage: Eukaryota; Viridiplantae; Streptophyta; Polypodiopsida; Polypodiales; Pteridaceae.
GCAUCCUUAGCUCAGCCGGAUAGAGCAACAACCUUCUAAGUUGAAGGUCACAGGUUCAAGUCCUGUAGGAUGCG